CCUACGGGUGGCUGCAGUGGGGAAUAUUGGACAAUGGGGGCAACCCUGAUCCAGCCAUGCCGCGUGUGUGAAGAAGGCCCUCGGGUUGUAAAGCACUAUCAGUGAGGAAGAACGCCUGGUGGUUAAUACCCAUCAGGAAAGACAUCACUCACAGAAGAAGCACCGGCUAACUCCGUGCCAGCAGCCGCGGUAAUACGGAGGGUGCGAGCGUUAAUCGGAAUUACUGGGCGUAAAGCGCGCGUAGGUGGCUUGAUAAGCCGGUUGUGAAAGCCCCGGGCUCAACCUGGGAACGGCAUCCGGAACUGUCAAGCUAGAGUGCAGGAGAGGAAGGUAGAAUUCCCGGUGUAGCGGUGAAAUGCGUAGAGAUCGGGAGGAAUACCAGUGGCGAAGGCGGCCUUCUGGACUGACACUGACACUGAGGUGCGAAAGCGUGGGUAGCAAACAGGAGUAGAUACCCUUGUAGUC
Molecule: ribosomal RNA, 465 nt
Filed under: Vreelandella stevensii
Lineage: Bacteria; Pseudomonadati; Pseudomonadota; Gammaproteobacteria; Oceanospirillales; Halomonadaceae
Description: partial 16S ribosomal RNA
Rfam family: Bacterial small subunit ribosomal RNA
Source: RNAcentral